UACAGAGGGGGCAAGCGUUGUUCGGAAUUACUGGGCGUAAAGGGCGCGUAGGCGGCCUUCUAAGUCGAACGUGAAAUCCCCGGGCUCAACCCGGGAACUGCGUCCGAGACUGGGAGGCUAGAAUCCGGGAGAGGGAUGUGGAAUUCCAGGUGUAGUGGUGAAAUGCGUAGAUAUCUGGAGGAACACCGGUGGCGAAGGCGGCAUUCUGGACCGAAACUGACGCUGAGGCGCGAAAGCGUGGGGAGCAAACAGG
Molecule: ribosomal RNA, 253 nt
Filed under: uncultured bacterium
Lineage: Bacteria
Description: partial 16S ribosomal RNA
Rfam family: Bacterial small subunit ribosomal RNA
Source: RNAcentral